GACAAUGAAAAACAAUGCAAACGAGAAAACUAACGGCCUUAUUUAUAUAAAAAAAUGAACAAAAAACAAAUAUGUAACACAUAAACAAACGACAACCACUGAAUUACAGGCUCCUGACUUGGGACAGGCACAUACAUAAAUAAUGUGGCGGGGUUAAACAUGUUAGCGGGAUCCCAACCUUCCCCCUAACCUGGGACAGUGGUAUAACAGUACAACAUAAGAACGAACUAUAAAAAUCAGUUGAAAAGGGCUUAACUCAUCAGAUGGACAAAAAU
Molecule: long non-coding RNA, 275 nt
Filed under: Mytilus galloprovincialis (Mediterranean mussel)
Lineage: Eukaryota; Metazoa; Mollusca; Bivalvia; Mytilida; Mytilidae
Source: RNAcentral